GGCAGUGUAGCAUAGUGGUUAAGGAGUCAGACUUGUAACUGCAGGGUUGCUGGUUCAAUUCCAGCCAGGGUGCUG
Molecule: non-coding RNA, 75 nt
Organism: Megalops atlanticus (tarpon)
Lineage: Eukaryota; Metazoa; Chordata; Actinopteri; Elopiformes; Megalopidae
Source: the annotation of a GenBank genome assembly